AUUGAACGCUGGCGGCAGGCCUAACACAUGCAAGUCGAGCGGAGCGGCGGACGGGUGAGUAAUGCCUAGGAAUCUGCCUGGUUGUGGGGGAUAACGUCCGGAAACGGGCGCUAACACCGCAUACUAUCAGAUGAACCUAGGAAGGAUUAGCUAGUUGGUGGGGUAAAGGCAUACCAAGGCGACGAUCCGUAACUGGUAUGAGAGGAUGAUCAGUAACACUGGAACUGAGACACGGUCCAGACUACUACGGGAGGCAGCAGGGGGAAAUAUUGGACAAUGGGCGGAAGCCUGAUCCAGCCAUGCGGAGUGUGUGAAGAAGGUCUUCGGAUUGUAAAGCACUUUAAGUUGGGAGGCGUUACCAACAGAAUAAGCACCGGCUAACUUCGUGCCAGCAGCCGCGGUAAUAC
RNAcentral lists this ribosomal RNA (407 nucleotides) under uncultured bacterium. RNAcentral's name for it is "partial 16S ribosomal RNA". It matches the Rfam family "Bacterial small subunit ribosomal RNA", at positions 30 to 526 of the family's 1533-position model. The record is from RNAcentral.